RNAcentral lists this ribosomal RNA (440 nucleotides) under uncultured bacterium. RNAcentral describes it as "bacterial SSU rRNA". It matches the Rfam family "Bacterial small subunit ribosomal RNA", at positions 338 to 770 of the family's 1533-position model. The record is from RNAcentral.
CCUACGGGAGGCUGCAGUAGGGAAUCUUCGGCAAUGGGGGCAACCCUGACCGAGCAACGCCGCGUGAGUGAAGAAGGUUUUCGGAUCGUAAAGCUCUGUUGUAAGUCAAGAACGAGUGUGAGAGUGGAAAGUUCACACUGUGACGGUAGCUUACCAGAAAGGGACGGCUAACUACGUGCCAGCAGCCGCGGUAAUACGUAGGUCCCGAGCGUUGUCCGGAUUUAUUGGGCGUAAAGCGAGCGCAGGCGGUUUGAUAAGUCUGAAGUUAAAGGCUGUGGCUCAACCAUAGUUCGCUUUGGAAACUGUCAAACUUGAGUGCAGAAGGGGAGAGUGGAAUUCCAUGUGUAGCGGUGAAAUGCGUAGAUAUAUGGAGGAACACCGGUGGCGAAAGCGGCUCUCUGGUCUGUAACUGACGCUGAGGCUCGAAAGCGUGGGGAGCG